CUCUGUCUCUGGAGCCUUGGGCUGUACCGACAACUGGGGUAAGGGCUCUGGAGAUCCAGAAUGGGCUCUGAUGAGUCGGAGAGUCCAUACACCAGAACUCCCUCCCUGUGCCCCACCCAAGUCUCUGCCUCCUCAGCCCUUCCUUGCUCCCCUAACUGCACCAGGAGCUGUCAGCCCUCCUCCCUCAGAUUAAAGACCCCAGUCCUCCUCCCUCCAAUCUAGAGAUGAAGGCCUCAGACUUGGGUGUCCAAACUCCAAACCUAUUCCAUCAGUCCCAGGAAUCCAGACUCCAGCCCUCUUUCAGACCCAGUGGUCCAGACCCCAAUCUUAUUCCCUCAGUCCCAUGGAUUCAGACCCCAGGCCUCUUCCCUGAGACCCAGGGGUCCAGACUUCAAUCCUCCUUCAGACCCAGGACUCCAGACCGCAGGUCUCUUCCUCCAGCCCUCCUCCCUUAGAUCCAGGGGUCCAGGCCUCAGGCCUCCUCCCUCAGACAAGGUGGGGUCUGCUCCCUGUCUUGGCUCCUAUCCCCACUCCCAGGUUCUUUCCUCUGGGAAGGAAGCAUAUUUACACGGCCAGAUUUGCCCAGAUGUCUGUGAGGAGAGCAGGCUCUGCAGCUUGUGCUCGGCACCUCAGGGCCCACUUACCAUAUACACCCACCGUGAACUCCCGAAUCUGUUGGGAGACUCCUCCUCUGAUGACCUCAACUGUGUACACGCCUGCAUCAUCCAGCCGUGCAGAAAAGAUGUAUGGAGAGGCCUAGAAUGAUCCUCCACUCCUCACCCUCAGGGGAAGGUGGACUCUCAGCUGGAACUGUGGACACCAUGCAGGAAGACUUCCUUCAGGAGUGUCUAAGAAAUCAGAGCCCUUCCUGUGAACUCCCUGCCUGGCUCAGGUUUCUUGCUUUCCACUGUCUUACCUGAAGCUUCUCUGACCCUGGCCCCUUCUGUGACUCCCUGAUGUCCUCAGAAUCAAGUCUCCAGUUGAUGUCUCUGUCGAGACCAUCUCCCCUGAGACCUAGAACUCAAUUUCCAUUGUCCAACACCUGCUAAACUCAGCAUCUCCCCUCUGACCAGCACUUUAGGGUGGCUCCAUUGUCCGUGCAAAGGCUGGGGACCCCUCCCACGGGCUUCCUCCCUGACACUGCCAUCAAUCUCUGGCGCCGCCUAGAUUUCUCUGCCGUUUUCUCCUCUUGGUGCCUACUGCUCAGACCUUAUCAUCUUCACCUACAUCCCCCACCUGCUUCCUGCAAUCUCCUACUCUGGUUAGGACCCCUCCCUGGCCAGCUGACCCUUCCCUCCAUGUGACAGCUUUGCCUGGCUCCACAGCAUCCUCUGCAGACAUUCUCACAGGACCCACCCACUUCUCUGCACUCCAUCCCUUAUCCCCCUGAAUAUGGUGCCCUUCUGAUGCCAUCUCACCUCCCAGCCUUUGCAAGCAUUCUUUUCCUCUACCUGGAAUGCUCUUUCCCCCUCCAGUCUGGCUGCCUCAUAACUGGUCCUUCAGGUCUCACCUCAUUAAUAGCUACAAUAAUAAUGACAACUUAAGUUUAGCCAGGAACUAUGCUAAAUUCUAUCUGUGCGUUAUCAUCAGGAUGAUUUCUUCUGAAUGUCCUGAGCAGGAUGUUUGGUCCUCAUUUGCCAGGCCAAGAGAUGAUGAUGCAGAGAGGUCAGAUUUCCUGUGGGAGGUUACACAGCCAGGAGGAGAGGCUGGUCAGACUGCUUAGUCCUUCAGAAAGCUUUCCUAAUCCCCCUUGAUAGGCUUUAGACCUCUGCUCAGUUCUGAACCUAUGAGACUUAGUAUAGUGCUCAUAUGCUGGUGGGAGGCACCGAGCAUGCUCUAUGUAUCACAUACAGCUCUUUGCUAUGUCAGAAAACUGAAAAAAAAUAUUGUUUUGUUGGGCAUGGUGGAACACGCCUUUAAUCCCAGCACUUGGGACGUAGAGGCAGGCAGAUCUCAGUGAGUUCGAAGCUAUCCUGGUCUACAUAGGGAGUUCCAGGACAGUAGAGAGACCUUGUAUCAAAAUAAUUAAUUAAUUAAUUAAUUAAUGAUAAUAAUAAUGAUGUUUUAAUUUAUUCUUUGAGAAUUUAAUAUAUUUUUAUAUCUUUUCCUGUCCCCCAACUCCUUCCAGAUCUUUUCCAACCUUCUUACUCACUCAUCUUCAUAUUCUUUCUCUCUCAUAAUAUAAAGUAAAAUAAAAUAAAAUAAAGCACAGAGUCCAUUUUG
Molecule: long non-coding RNA, 2223 nt
Organism: Peromyscus californicus insignis
Lineage: Eukaryota; Metazoa; Chordata; Mammalia; Rodentia; Cricetidae
Exons: 2
Source: RefSeq, a predicted model, not a curated record